Molecule: long non-coding RNA, 509 nt
Organism: Myotis davidii
Lineage: Eukaryota; Metazoa; Chordata; Mammalia; Chiroptera; Vespertilionidae
Exons: 2
Source: RefSeq, a predicted model, not a curated record
AGGAAGGGGCAAUUCCCACCAACUCCUGGUGGAUCAGGUCUCCUGAUCCCAAGACAGGACUCUGCCCCUCACUCACAUGGGGGCUGCCAGGGGGCCCUGGCAGUUCAAACCACGUGUGCAACAGCCACGUGCUGGGGACACAGCGACAAACCCAACCAACCAACCAACCAACCAACCAGCCAACGCUGGGAGAAGUUUCCUCACAUGCCUUACUGCACCUGGAUUGAUGGCGGUUCUCCUGGUGACACUCGGAGCUCACUGAGCUGGCUUCCCCGUUGGAUCAUCCUCCGCAGCCAUGAAGACCCACAUGGAGCUUUUCCUGGAAGGACCCGUCACCUCACUGGCAUUAAAGAGACAAAACCCAAACACCAUUCAGAUUGAGGUCAUAAGUGCCGGUCCAGCAAACAACCCACAAACACAGACGUAGAACGGAAUCCGUUUUCCUGCCUUGAAUAUGUGUUUGUGGACUCAGAAAGGAAGUUGUUUUCCUCCUGAAGUUAUGUAUGCUA